This 250-nucleotide ribosomal RNA is filed under the name uncultured bacterium. Its description in RNAcentral is "partial 16S ribosomal RNA". It matches the Rfam family "Bacterial small subunit ribosomal RNA", at positions 359 to 631 of the family's 1533-position model. The record is from RNAcentral.
GGAUAAGAUGGGCGAAAGCCUGACGCAGCAACGCCGCGUGCGGGAAGAAGGCUCUCGGGUUGUAAACCGCUUUCAGAAGGAACGAAAAUGACGGUACUUUCAGAAGAAGGUGCGGCCAACUACGUGCCAGCAGCCGCGGUAAUACGGAGGGUGCAAGCGUUGUUCGGAAUUAUUGGGCGUAAAGGGCGUGUAGGUGGCAGUCCAAGUCUGGUGCGAAAGCCCACGGCUCAACCGUGGAACUGCAUUGGAA